Molecule: long non-coding RNA, 354 nt
Filed under: Ananas comosus (pineapple)
Lineage: Eukaryota; Viridiplantae; Streptophyta; Magnoliopsida; Poales; Bromeliaceae
Description: long non-coding RNA (ACOM_LNC019062)
Source: RNAcentral
AAUCCGAAUCCCAACGGAGCGGAUUUAUCCGAUGUUAAAUGGAUAUGAUUUCGAAUAUGAAUAUUAAAAAUAAAAAUCCGACGGAUAUUGAUUUUGACUGUACCCGACUAGAAUCUGAACCCAACCCGAACCCAAACUUAUUUUACAUUAUGUAUAAUACGUAUAUAAAAAUUUGAUGUUAUAUUUGAAUUCGUAUUUUAAAAAUUUAGAUUUAAUGCAAUAUAUUUUGAAAUAUUAAAAAAAGAAUUAAUUGUUUCGAGUCGGAUUUUCGGGUUCGAAUUCGGGUUCGGGUAUCGAAUUUUUGGUCGAGUUCGGGUUUGGAUAUGAAUUUUUAAAAUCCGUCGGGUUGGGGUU